Molecule: ribosomal RNA, 497 nt
Filed under: uncultured bacterium
Lineage: Bacteria
Description: bacterial SSU rRNA
Rfam family: Bacterial small subunit ribosomal RNA
Source: RNAcentral
UCCUGGCUCAGGAGUGAACGCUGGCGGCGUGCUUAACACAUGCAAGUCGAACGGAGUUAAGAAGGAAGCUUGCUUCAUUUAAACUAGUGGCGGACGGGUGAGUAACGCGUGAGGAACCUGGCCCUUCAGUGGGGAACAACAACUAGAAAUGGUUGCUAAUACCGCAUAAUGUCGGAGUACCGCAUGACAUUCCGACCAAAGGAUUUAUUCGCUGAAGGAUGGCCUCGCGUCCGAUUAGAUAGUUGGUGAGGUAACGGCCCACCAAGUCUACGAUCGGUAGCCGAACUGAGAGGUUGAUCGGCCACAUUGGGACUGAGACACGGCCCAGACUCCUACGGGAGGCAGCAGUGGGGAAUAUUGGGCAAUGGGCGAAAGCCCUGACCCAGCAACGCCGCGUGAAGGAUGACGGUCUUCGGAUUGUAAACUUCUUUAAUUGGGGAAGAACAAAAUGACCUACCCAAAGAAUAAGUCACGGCUAACUACGUGCCAGCCGCUGC